This 430-nucleotide long non-coding RNA is filed under the name Rattus norvegicus (Norway rat). Its description in RNAcentral is "long non-coding RNA NONRATT030875". The record is from RNAcentral. Lineage: Eukaryota; Metazoa; Chordata; Mammalia; Rodentia; Muridae.
GGAACCUUCGUGAGUACAAUGAAAAUCCAAAAGGACACAUGUAUGACCGAGUAAAGAGCAGCUCUUCAGAAAUUCUGGGAGGUAAUGAACCAACAAGUAAAGACAUAAAAAAGGCUAAAAAAGUCAGAAACUGAUGCAGAGUGCUAAUGAUCCACUCCCAGAGAUAAAGCCAAUAGGAGACCAAAUAGCCUUACAAAGUGAUAAGAAAGAUGCCAACCAGAACCACAUGGGUCAGAAUCUUCAGGAUACUGCAACACCAAAUAUGGAGGGAAAGUCCAAAUCCUGUACAAUUCUAUAAAUGUAUGUUUAUGUUUCCAUGGUCACCGAGCACAUUUAUUCUUCAUACUUGAAAAAUGUUGUGACUUCUGAAGGAAAUUCCCCCAUAACACUGUUUAAAAAGAUAUUAAUUAGUAAGUUUGGCUUGGUUUGG